RNAcentral lists this ribosomal RNA (377 nucleotides) under uncultured bacterium. RNAcentral describes it as "bacterial SSU rRNA". It matches the Rfam family "Bacterial small subunit ribosomal RNA", at positions 523 to 898 of the family's 1533-position model. The record is from RNAcentral.
AUACGUAAGUGGCGAGCGUUAUCCGGAAUCACUGGGCGUAAAGCGUUCGUAGGCGGUGUGGCAAGUCGGAUUUGAAAGCCCGGGGCUCAACUCCGGAUCCGGAUCCGAAACUGCCACGCUGGAGCGGAUCAGAGGGCAGUGGAAUUCCCGGUGUAGCGGUAAUAUGCGUAGAUAUCGGGAGGAACACCAGUGGCGAAGGCGGCUGCCUGGGAUCCUGCUGACGCUGAGGAACGAAAGCCAGGGGAGCGAACGGGAUUAGAUACCCCGGUAGUCCUGGCUGUAAACGAUGGGCACUAGGUGUCGGGAGCUUCGACCCUCUCGGCGCCGCCGCUAACGCAUUAAGUGCCCCGCCUGGGGAGUACGACCGCAAGGUUAAA